CGUGCCAGCAGCCGCGGUAAGACGUAGGGGGCGAGCGUUGUCCGGAAUCACUGGGCGUAAAGGGCGCGUAGGCGGCCUGGCAAGUCGGAUGUGAAAGGUCCCGGCUCAACCGGGGAGGUGCAUUCGAAACUGCCGGGCUUGAGGGCAGGAGAGGGCAGCGGAAUUCCCGGUGGAGCGGUGAAAUGCGUAGAGAUCGGGAGGAACACCAGUGGCGAAGGCGGCUGCCUGGCCUGGCCCUGACGCUGAGGCGCGACAGCGUGGGGAGCGAACGGGAUUAGAUACCCCGGUAGUCCACGCCGUAAACGAUGGGUGCUAGGUGUGGGAGGUAUCGACCCCUUCCGUGCCGGAGCUAACGCACUAAGCACCCCGCCUGGGGAGUACGGCCGCAAGGCUGAAACUCAAAGGAAUUGACGGGGGCCCGCACAAGCGGUGGAGCAUGUGGUUUAAUUCGAAGCAACGCGAAGAACCUUACCUGGGCUUGACAUCACCGCGAACCUGGCCGAAAGGCCGGGGUGCCCUUCGGGGAGCGCGGUGACAGGUGCUGCAUGGUUGUCGUCAGCUCGUGUCGUGAGAUGUUGGGUUAAGUCCCGCAACGAGCGCAACCCCCGCCCUGUGUUGCCAGCGGUUCGGCCGGGCACUCACAGGGGACUGCCGGUGACAAACCGGAGGAAGGUGGGGAUGACGUCAAAUCAUCAUGGCCCUUAUGCCCAGGGCUACACACGUGCUACAAUGGCCGGUACAACGGGUUGCGAACCCGCG
Molecule: ribosomal RNA, 759 nt
Filed under: uncultured Thermaerobacter sp.
Lineage: Bacteria; Bacillati; Bacillota; Clostridia; Eubacteriales; Clostridiales Family XVII. Incertae Sedis
Description: bacterial SSU rRNA
Rfam family: Bacterial small subunit ribosomal RNA
Source: RNAcentral